AAAAUUUUCUCUGGGUUGAAGAAAUUUUCACCCGGCCAUGGCAGCGUCAAAAUUUCUUCAAUGCAAACGGAAAUUUUAUCUUCCUUUCGCCAUCGAUUUUCUUACCUUGUCAAGGAGAGAGAUCCAAGCCCUAGGCCGAAGGAAUCGAGGGGUUUUUGUACGGUGAUAGAUGAGUACCGGAAUCGGUUAUUGAUUCGGUUGAAGGAAUCGAGGAGUUUCCUGAAUUGCCGAUGAAAGCAGAGCUUAUUUCCUCGGAAAUUCCACGAAUUGCACUGAGAACUUCGGAAAGAAGAAAGGCCUUCAAGGAUGGGGCAAGUACUACUCGAUCACAACGAAAGUAAUUUUCUUUUUGAAUUUAACAUUCUGCCAUUUGUGUCGUUACCCUUAAAUGUCCUCACAAUCUCAUUGUUCUUCGUACAAUCAUUAACAAAAAUCCCUGGAAAUGGAACCCCAUGUCUUCCUUUUUCUCCUCACCGGCCAGAAUUUUGACCACUCUCCAAACAAAUCCUUUCAACCUUAUUUUUCUUCACUACACAUUUCCAAAAAUUUCAUUUCCCUCCUUGGAAAAUCUUCGUGGAUGCUGAAACCUGCGGCUGGGAACCCAUUGUUCUCGAUCAAGUCCAGUGCUGAACCCUCCCAAUGGACUGCUCGGAUCAAGGGUUUAAGGGAGCCAAAUCCUUUCUUAGGAAUGUUUUGGCGAGCAUGGAGGCUGUUUAUCUGAGUCGGAAUUCCACUGAAAAAUCCGUUUUGGAGCUUGUUCGAUCUGUUCAUGAUGAUACAAUUUGUUAUGAUCAUAUUGCAUUUAGAACUUUUGGGGACAUAAUCAGAAAAUACACUGAAUAAUGUUCUUUCAAUUGGAAGAAGCAUGUUCUGCUCUGGCAGGUGUUCUGGGUUCCUUGACAUUCAGAGAUUAAGCAAUUAGCAAGGUUUUUAAUCUCCCAUAACUCUGAAACUUAUGUUAUUUAGUUCACCAUAUUAUCAUGGAGGAUUUUUGUUUUGGAUGAACGAAGUUUCAUCGCUGAAAUGUGAUUUGACCGAGAAUUUGAAAACAAAAAUGCAUACCCUUUUGCUUCUUACUCACUCACGCUUAUGUUUAUUUGAUCCAAUACUAAUGCUCCCUUACUUUUCAUGCUUGCCACCUCUGGAAAUAGUGUUGGCUUGGUUUGGAACAUUAGUAAAAAAUAAUUGUAAUAUUGUUUUUAAGACAUUGUAAUUUUGAGGUGAUAUAAGAUGAAUAGGUUGUCCAGGAAUCAAUUUUUCUAUAUUACCUUACCCCUCUACCUUAAUAAUAGACAUGUGUGUCCUCUAGUUUCACUUUAGUUGUGUCUUCUAUGUUAUUUUUUAGUUUUUUUGCUUGCAUUUAAACACACACAUGGUUGUUGAAAUGGGGUUCUCAAAUGAAUUGUUGGUUUUUUUUUCAGAAGUGACCUUAUUUUUGUGUCUCUGUGCAACUUUAAUAUGAGGUUAUUAAGGAAGGAGAUAGAGGAGGAAGAAGGGAGAGA
This is a long non-coding RNA of Cucumis melo (muskmelon), 1502 nucleotides long. RefSeq lists it as uncharacterized. The transcript has 5 exons. NCBI's taxonomy places the organism in Eukaryota, Viridiplantae, Streptophyta, Magnoliopsida, Cucurbitales, Cucurbitaceae. The record is from RefSeq and is a predicted model, not a curated record.